AACGCCACGAUUACAAAAAGUAGUCGGGGGUCUUGCGCGUUGUGUCCGGCUCUAUUUGUCGUGGGGCUGGAUCGAACUGUAGGAAGUUCUGAUCCAUGUUCUCCCCGAUUUCUAGAAUUGCUGCCAUGUUACCACAGCGGUAACAGUAGUUUGGGGCGCUGAACACCGUGACAACGUUCUUGUCCUGCAUAACAAUCAUUCCUUCCAUCACAAGUUGAUGGGCCCUUGAAAUAAGGGUAAGGCCAUUAGUAUGGUUGAAUUGUUGUGCAAUAUCUUGCCCAAACGUGUAUCCUGCCCCUCUUGGAGAAAUUCCCCACCCACAUCGAUCGUCCGGGUCAGACCACAAAAGAUCACACAUGGGCCCUUCAUGAGGGACCUAUAACCAUUAAAGAGAACAGGGUGCAUAAUUCAAUGUCCAUAUUAAUAGAACAAACAUUUGGCAAAAAGAGCUAACCUGGUUUUCUACAAGAGCUGUGAGAGGCAAAUAAUCAAACAAGUCCGUGAAGUACUUCCAAACAUUUGCAUUUCCAUACUUCCGUAAGCAUUCGUCAUAGA
Molecule: small RNA, 555 nt
Filed under: Oryza sativa Japonica Group (Japanese rice)
Lineage: Eukaryota; Viridiplantae; Streptophyta; Magnoliopsida; Poales; Poaceae
Description: sRNA Os06g0574601
Source: RNAcentral